GCGCGGGUGGUGGAACUGGUAGACACGCAUGUUUGAGGGGCAUGUAGGGAAACCUGUGAGGGUUCGAGUCCCUCCCCGCGCA
Molecule: transfer RNA, 82 nt
Filed under: Deltaproteobacteria bacterium
Lineage: Bacteria; Pseudomonadati; Myxococcota; Myxococcia
Description: tRNA-Leu
Rfam family: tRNA
About the family: Transfer RNA (tRNA) molecules are approximately 80 nucleotides in length. Their secondary structure includes four short double-helical elements and three loops (D, anti-codon, and T loops).
Source: RNAcentral